This 466-nucleotide ribosomal RNA is filed under the name uncultured bacterium. RNAcentral's name for it is "partial 16S ribosomal RNA". It matches the Rfam family "Bacterial small subunit ribosomal RNA", at positions 28 to 507 of the family's 1533-position model. The record is from RNAcentral.
GAUGAACGCUGGCGGCGUGCUUAACACAUGCAAGUCGAACGAUAACGCCCAGCUUGCUGGGUGGAUUAGUGGCGAACGGGUGAGUAACACGUGAGUAACCCGCCCUUUACUCUUUGGUAAGGCUUGGCAACUGGGACCAAUACCUGAUAUGACUUCUCAUCUCAGGGUGGGGGGUGGGGAGCUUUAGUGGUAUUGGAUGGGCGUGCGGCUUAUUAGCUUUUUGGAGUGGUAAUGGCACACGACGGCGACGGCGGGUAUCCGGCCUUGGAGGGUGACCGGGCACACUGGGACUGAGACACGGCCCAGACGCCUACGGGAGGCAGCAGUGGGGAAUAUUGCACAAUGGGCGCAAGCCUGAUGCAGCGACGCCGCGUGAGGGAUGACGGCCUUCGGGGUGUAAACCUCUUUCAGUAGGGAAGAAGCGAGAGUGACGGUACCUGCAGAAGAAGCGCCGGCUAACUACGUG